Manis pentadactyla (Chinese pangolin) is the source of this 1392-nucleotide long non-coding RNA. RefSeq lists it as uncharacterized. The transcript has 3 exons. NCBI's taxonomy places the organism in Eukaryota, Metazoa, Chordata, Mammalia, Pholidota, Manidae. The record is from RefSeq and is a predicted model, not a curated record.
GCUGGAAUCUCAAGUAUCUCGAAGUCUUCCGCCUGUCUUUGCUUUUCUACCCCACCAAUCCUCCAGAGCACAGCACAUCUACGAACACCAUGCAGCCGAGAAAACUGAAACGAAGAGAAGAAGCUGUGAUGCAGGAACAUCUAGUGUAAAACUGAGAGAAUCUUAUUGGGAUGCAGCCUGAAACUCUGUGGACACUUCUGCAGAGAGAGGCAGCAGGCCUGAAUGCCCUUAUGCUGUGGCAACAAGGCUCGGAAUCUUGGUAUAUGAACACCUCCCACAAUGGGUGCCAUGGAUACAAGCACUGCUCUUGCUCACAUCUCGGAUGACAGUUACCCACGACAUUUCAAGCGCUGUGUUUUUCUGACUCGUUUUGAUUGUAUCGUUUACUUUAAUCUUCAUAAUCCUUUACGAAGAAAGGUGGGUUUUUCUCUCCCUAUAUUAAAAUUGAGGGAAUCACAUGUCGAGUGAGGGUAAAUCGUUUCCUGAGGGGCCCUGGCAUUAAGGAACAGAAGUGUGUGAUGUGAACCCAGUACUCUCUCUCUAUAAAACCUGUGCUCUUAGCCUUUACAUGUAAUUCACUGCGUUUUGAAAUAUAUUUUUAUACUUGAUACUGAUCACAAUAUUCAGACAUGAAGGUAUAGUCAAGAUGACGUUAUGGUAGUUUAAUGAAAAAGCCAAUGCAUUUACCCAGUGUAUACGUGACGAAAAACUAUCUAUACUUUACUUUUCCAUAACUCCCAUCUUAAAUAUGAAUGCUGAGGAGAGUAUUUUAGCUCAGAUGUCAGAUGCAGUCAGUAGGAACAGCAGUUGUACUAACUGCAUUUGUACACCCUUAAACACUAAGAAGGAGGCCAGCAAAACCGUUUUAUGCUCACCAGCAUGGGGCGCUUUUGAAAAAAUUUGAAUGGUUCCGCCAAUUAACCUUUUUUUAAUCCAGGUGCAUUUUUUACACAGUUAUGUUUUAUUGAGCAAGGAAAAUCUACCUUUGUCGAAAAAGAAGAGAUUAUUUUGGUGUCCAAUAUUCACCUGACAAAAGUCAUUGUUUACAGUUCUGCUUUCGGCAUUAAUAAAAGAAUAAUUUCUAUGGGCGUUUCAUGUGUUGGGAUCUCUUCUGACUCCAGGAUUUCAUAGAAUGAGAAAUGGAUUGUUAGGGAAAUGUGAAGCUUGUAUUCAAAGUUUAAUUCACUGAUCAGUCAAAACAAUUGUGGGUGAGGAAAUGAAAGAAUAUUUUCAUCAAUAAACUGUUCCUUAAAAUAGGAAAUACAAUUUAUAUCAUUUGAUUCCCAUGCUUCCCUGUCAUUCAGAAAUUAUGCAUAAAAAGGAGUUGAUUGUCUUCCUCUAAUUUUGUAAGGCUUGCGGAGUACAUGGUUCCCGAAAAUAAUCUUUCUAAGA